AGAGUUUGAUCAUGGCUCAGAACGAACGCUGGCGGCGUGCCUGAGACAUGCAAGUCGUGGGAGAAAGUCGGAGCAAUCCGGCUAGUAAACCGGCGCACGGGUGAGUAACACGUGGGCAACCUGCCCUGGAGACCGGGAUAACCCGUCGAAAGACGGGCUAAUACCGGAUAAGACCCCGGAUAGUUCGCUAUCUGAGGUAAAAGGUGGCCCCUGCUCCUGCAAGCUAUCACUUCAAGAGGGGCCCGCGGCCUAUCAGCUAGUUGGUGAGGUAACGGCCCACCAAGGCUAAGACGGGUAGCUGGUCUGAGAGGAUGAUCAGCCUCACUGGGACUGAGACACGGCCCAGACUCCUACGGGAGGCAGCAGUGGGGAAUAUUGGACAAUGGGCGCAAGCCUGAUCCAGCCAUGCCGCGUGGAUGAUGAAGGCCUUAGGGUUGUAAAGUCCUUUCGACGGGGAAGAUAAUGACGGUACCCGUAGAAGAAGCCCCGGCUAACUUCGUGCCAGCCGCCGCGGUAAUACA
RNAcentral lists this ribosomal RNA (521 nucleotides) under uncultured Blastochloris sp. RNAcentral describes it as "bacterial SSU rRNA". It matches the Rfam family "Bacterial small subunit ribosomal RNA", at positions 8 to 527 of the family's 1533-position model. Lineage: Bacteria; Pseudomonadati; Pseudomonadota; Alphaproteobacteria; Hyphomicrobiales; Blastochloridaceae. The record is from RNAcentral.